AUUGAACGCUGGCGGCAUGCUUUACACAUGCAAGUCGAACGGUAACAGGCCGCAAGGUGCUGACGAGUGGCGAACGGGUGAGUAAUGCAUCGGAACGUGCCCAGUCGUGGGGGACAACGCAGCGAAAGCUGCGCUAAUACCGCAUACGAUCUAUGGAUGAAAGCGGGGGACCGUAAGGCCUCGCGCGAUUGGAGCGGCCGAUGUCAGAUUAGGUAGUUGGUGGGGUAAAGGCUCACCAAGCCAACGAUCUGUAGCUGGUCUGAGAGGAAGACCAGCCACACUGGGACUGAGACACGGCCCAGACUCCUACGGGAGGCAGCAGUGGGGAAUUUUGGACAAUGGGCGCAAGCCUGAUCCAGCAAUGCCGCGUGCAGGAAGAAGGCCUUCGGGUUGUAAACUGCUUUUGUACGGAACGAAACGGUCCUGGUUAAUACCUGGGGCUAAUGACGGUACCGUAAGAAUAAGCACCGGCUAACUACGUGCCAGCCGCCGCUGUAA
Molecule: ribosomal RNA, 498 nt
Filed under: uncultured bacterium
Lineage: Bacteria
Description: partial 16S ribosomal RNA
Rfam family: Bacterial small subunit ribosomal RNA
Source: RNAcentral